Non-coding RNA from Parasteatoda tepidariorum (common house spider), 711 nucleotides. NCBI's taxonomy places the organism in Eukaryota, Metazoa, Arthropoda, Arachnida, Araneae, Theridiidae. The record is from RefSeq and is a predicted model, not a curated record.
ACUGCGGGACUUCAUCACUCAAAGUCAAUAUUCUUAGUUGAGUAUUAUGCAAAGAAAAAUACAUAAAUGUUUUGAUUUGUAUUAUGUUCGUUUUGCUAGAAAUAUUAAUUUUUCAUGUUGAUGAUAAUACCAUAAUUAUGUAACGCAGAUGAGAUUUGACGAAAUUCACAAUGUAGACAGUAUGUAGAAUUCAAUGUAGACAAUUCAGAGUAGACAAUGUAGAAUUCAAUGUAGAAACAAUCGAAAGACGAUAUUUGAAGAUUAGCACAAAUAAGUAGUGACGGAACUGAUAUCUUUAUUCCAGCUAUCGCUAGAUGCCCUUUAAUACAAAAACGAAUUUGUAAGAUUUGCACCUUGCCUUUCACUAAGUCAUCAGAUUUAAUAAUAUUGAACUGACUUCCAUCUUUAUACUACUAUAUAGGUGACAAAAAUUAACUAUCAUGAAUUCUUGUCUUCUGAUGGAUUAUUAUUUUUGUUAGCUAUCUUCGUUUUGUGAUGAACUGUAUUGAUUUUUAUGCAAACUACCUUCGCCUUGUGACGGAUAACUGUUUGUGCUUGUUAUCCCUAAUUGUAAAUUAAUCACACGAUUUUAAUGAACUUCUUUUGCUUUGGAUAUUCUUCCGACAACAUCCUUUUUUUGCGGAUACAUUUUCGUCAUCAGAGAAAGAAAUAAUUUCAGCCAUUAUAUCACAUCCAGCAGCAAUAAAACAA